Molecule: non-coding RNA, 408 nt
Organism: Peromyscus californicus insignis
Lineage: Eukaryota; Metazoa; Chordata; Mammalia; Rodentia; Cricetidae
Source: the annotation of a RefSeq genome assembly
AUGGGAUGGAGCUGGACCAUUCUCUUCCUCCUGUCAGUAACUACAGGUGUCCACUCCCAGAUCCAGCUGCAGCAGUCUGGUCCAGAGCUGGGGAAACCUGGGUCCUUAGUGAAGUUGUCCUUCAAGGCUUCUGGCUACACCUUCACUGACCAUGUUAUACACUGGGUGAAGCAGAGGCCUGGACAAGGCCUGGAGUGGAUUGGAUAUUUUUAUCCUGGAAAUGGUGAAACUAAGUACAAUCAGAAGUUCCAGGGCAAGGCCACACUGACUGCAGACACAUCCUCCAGCACAGCCUACAUGGAGCUCAGCAGGCUGACAUCUGAGGACUCUGCAGUCUAUUACUGUGCGACCGGAAACACAGUCAGUAAUUGUCCUGCCUGGAAACACUUUAAGGCCUUUUGUGGGUAA